CCUACGGGUGGCAGCAGUGAGGAAUAUUGGUCAAUGGGCGCGAGCCUGAACCAGCCAAGUCGCGUGAGGGAAGACGGCCCUACGGGUUGUAAACCUCUUUUGCCGGGGAGCAACGGGCGCCACGUGUGGCGCCACUGAGAGUACCCGGAGAAAAAGCAUCGGCUAAAUCCGUGCCAGCAGCCGCGGUAAUACUGAGGAUGCGAUCGUUAACCGGAUUUAUUGGGUUGAAAGGGUGCGUAGGCGGAGAGUUAAGUCAGUGGUCAAAUUGAGGGGAUCAACCCCUUCCCGCCAUUGAAACUGGCGCUCUUGAGUGGAAGAGAAGUAUGCGGAAUGCGUGGUGUAGCGGUGAAAUGCAUAGAUAUCACGCAGAACCCCGAUUGCGAAGGCAGCAUGCCGGCUUCCUACUGACGCUGAAGCACGAAAGCGUGGGGAUCGAACAGGAUUAGAUACCCGUGUAGUC
RNAcentral lists this ribosomal RNA (460 nucleotides) under uncultured bacterium. RNAcentral's name for it is "partial 16S ribosomal RNA". It matches the Rfam family "Bacterial small subunit ribosomal RNA", at positions 338 to 795 of the family's 1533-position model. The record is from RNAcentral.